This 1206-nucleotide ribosomal RNA is filed under the name Triticum aestivum (bread wheat). RNAcentral describes it as "partial small subunit ribosomal RNA". Lineage: Eukaryota; Viridiplantae; Streptophyta; Magnoliopsida; Poales; Poaceae. The record is from RNAcentral.
AUAAGUGCGGUGCUUAGGAUAAGGAGUGAACUCUCCUCGGCGACGGACACAUACUUCCGGGAGAACGGCUUCCAGCGUGUGCACACGCCCUUAAUAACCACCAGUGACUGCGAGGGUGCUGGCGAGAUGUUCCAGGUCACCACCUUGUUCAGCCAGGCCGAGAGGCUGGAAAAGGAGCUCAAGGAGAACCCUGCUUCGCAAGCCGACAUCAACGCCGCUAAGAUCGUCGUCAAGCAAGGGGACAUUGUCGCACAGCUCAAAGCUGCACAAGCCACCAAGAAAGAGGUCGGAGCCGCCGUGUCGGGGCUCAAGACGGCGAAAGAGAGCGUGUUGAGGAUGGAGGAGAGGUCCAGGCUGAGACCUGGGACUCCACGCAGGGAAGAUGGGAGUAUUGCGUUUGAGAAUGAUUUUUUCAAGUGUCCUUCGUACCUGACAGUUUCAGGGCAGCUUCAGCUGGAGACCUUGGCUUGUGGUCUCACCGACGUGUAUACCUUUGGGCCGACGUUCCGGGCCGAGAACUCACACACGUCGAGGCAUCUUGCCGAGUUUUGGAUGGUGGAGGCAGAGAUGGCAUUUGCAAACUUGCAGGAUGAUAUGAACCGUGCAGAGAGCUAUGUGCAAUACCUUUGCAGGUGGUUACUUGAGCAUUGCCGAGAAGAGAUAGAAUUCAUGGUCAAGGGUCAUGAUGAGGCCGCAAUCGAGCGCCUGGAGCUUGUUUCAUCGACGCCCUUCGAACGCUCGUACACAAAGGCUGUGGAGAUACUAAAAGAGGCAGAUAAAAAGUUUGAGAACAAAGUUGAGUGGGGAAUUGAUUUAGCAUCUGAGCAUGAGAGGUAUUUGACUGAGAUGGCGUUUAAGAAGCCCGUUAUUGUUUCUAGAUACCCAAAAGGCAUUAAGGCAUUUUAUAUGAGGCUCAAUGAUGACCAGAGGACAGUGGCUGCUAUGGAUGUUCUUGUUCCUAAGGUUGGUGAAUUAAUCGGCGGAAGCCAAAGGGAGGAACGUCUAGAUAUUCUUGAACAAAGGAUACUCGACACUGGUCUGGCCUUGGAGCAGUACGACAAAUACCUGGACCUGCGGCGCUUCGGAUCCGUCAAGCACAGCGGGUUUGGCCUGGGUCUCGGGAGAAUGAUCCUUUUCGCCACCGGAAUUGACAACAUCAGAGAUGUAAUCCCCUUCCCACGGUGUCCUGGGAGGGCCGAUCUCUGA